Molecule: ribosomal RNA, 249 nt
Filed under: uncultured bacterium
Lineage: Bacteria
Description: partial 16S ribosomal RNA
Rfam family: Bacterial small subunit ribosomal RNA
Source: RNAcentral
UACGUAGGGCGCAAGCGUUAUCCGGAAUUAUUGGGCGUAAAGAGCUCGUAGGCGGUUUGUCGCGUCUGCCGUGAAAGUCCGGGGCUCAACUCCGGAUCUGCGGUGGGUACGGGCAGACUAGAGUGAUGUAGGGGAGACUGGAAUUCCUGGUGUAGCGGUGAAAUGCGCAGAUAUCAGGAGGAACACCGAUGGCGAAGGCAGGUCUCUGGGCAUUAACUGACGCUGAGGAGCGAAAGCAUGGGGGAGCGA